CUACGGGAGGCAGCAGUGGGGAAUAUUGGACAAUGGGCGCAAGCCUGAUCCAGCCAUGCCGCGUGAGUGACGACGGCCUUAGGGUUGCAAAGCUCUUUUAGCGGGGACGAUAAUGACGGUACCCGCAGAAUAAGCCCCGGCUAACUUCGUGCCAGCAGCCGCGGUAAUACGAAGGGGGCUAGCGUUGUUCGGAAUCACUGGGCGUAAAGCGCACGUAGGCGGAUUGGUCAGUUGGGGGUGAAAUCCCGGGGCUCAACCUCGGAACUGCCUUCAAUACUGCCAAUCUUGAGUCCGGAAGAGGUGAGUGGAAUUCCUAGUGUAGAGGUGAAAUUCGUAGAUAUUAGGAAGAACACCAGUGGCGAAGGCGGCUCACUGGUCCGGUACUGACGCUGAGGUGCGAAAGCGUGGGGAGCAAACAGGAUUAGAAACCCCAGUAGUCC
RNAcentral lists this ribosomal RNA (440 nucleotides) under uncultured bacterium. RNAcentral describes it as "bacterial SSU rRNA". It matches the Rfam family "Bacterial small subunit ribosomal RNA", at positions 339 to 796 of the family's 1533-position model. The record is from RNAcentral.